Long non-coding RNA from Amphiprion ocellaris (clown anemonefish), 2264 nucleotides. RefSeq lists it as uncharacterized. The transcript has 3 exons. Lineage: Eukaryota; Metazoa; Chordata; Actinopteri; Pomacentridae. The record is from RefSeq and is a predicted model, not a curated record.
UUCUGCUCGUUGAUUACUCAUUGUUUUCACCUGCGUCUCGUUAGCAUCCUGUCGCCUGCCAGGCCUCAUGUCUUCGUGUUUCUGGAUAGUUUAGAUUUAAUCUCCUCACUUUUUGGAUUAUUUCUUUCCUUGGAUCACCAGCUGUCCCUCUGAUUGUUCACCAAGUAAAUAUUCCCUGUAUGUUUGCUGUGGUUAGCUGGACAUCAAACAGCCAACUCUUCACUCCAGAUGUUCAGAUUCCCAGCUGUUGGACUGCUCAGCGCCCUCCUCAUGGAUCUGAGAGGCAAAAAUAAUGGCAUCAGAUGUGCUCUUUCCUCAAAACAACCUCCAAGAUGUGAUCAGCAGAAAUGAUUUUUGAGACUGAGAGCUGAACCUUAAAGGAGCCGUCAUCGUGCUCCCAGCUGCCCUCCACCGUGAUGACGUGGCCUUGUCAGGACCUGCUGGCAUUUCAGGCUUCUCUGGGGGGACUGGAGUUAACAGAAAGGUGAAGCGUGAUUAAUGAGAAGAUGGACGUGAAAAGACAGCAGAGGAGGGAUGAGGGAGGAUGGAUGUGAAGCAGCAGGAUGUCUACAGACUGAUGUAAUCUCUGGGGUUUGCUUUGAUGGAGCCUCAGAUGGACUCACAUGUUCUGUCUUUAAUGCUGCUCCAAGUUCCCACUGCAGACCUUCACACUUUUUUCUGAUUUCCUGAUUGGCUUUUGAUGGAUUCACAUUCAUUAGCGGUUUUAGUCGAGUGUUUUCAACUAGAUUUUGAAUGUGUUUGUUCUGGAAUUGUUCCGCUAUGACACGAUGCUGCAGCUUAAACCUUCCCAAGUCACUGAAACAACCAAUCAGGACACGAUAUGUUCUGUUAAUAUACACUACCAUUGUAAUCAUCAGUUAGCCUUUCAACACCAAUAGCUAACACAAUGUAGCAUUACAACACAGGAGUGGUUGUUGCUGAUGAGCUAAAGUUGCUCUAAAAUGAGUUGAAGUUGCUCUUAAAUGAAUUAAAGUUAAAAGUAAAGUCUCUGAGCGAAGGGAGGGACAACGUGGUUCUGAUUCUGAUUUGGUCCAGAAAAUGACAGUUUGCUUCUGCCCACAUGAAUGAAUGGAUCUGUACAGCAUGCAAAGAAGAAAACAAGAGGACCAACAGCAAUAUGAGUGAUUUAGAGCAACAUAAUAACCACAAAUGUACCACAAAUGUUACACAACUUGGCACUAGGUGAGAUUUUUACAGUCUACUACUGUUUGAUUAUCACUGAUAAUGAUACAACGGGCUGCAUGAUUAUUAAAACCAUAAUCACAAUUAGUUUGAUCAAAACCGAGAUCACAAUUAUGGAUUAGUCUUUUUAUUGCACUUUUAAAUAACCGGAGUCCUGCUUUCACUUUACAUUCCUGCUAGUCUACAGAUCUGGAUCAGAACAGGUCUUAAAAUAUGACUUCACUUGGACUCUGAGCAUCUCCUAAAGGAGAAAUCUGCUUAUCGACACACACAACAAUUUACCGAUGGUCCCUAAACACACCAUAGACAGUGCAGAGAAGCCUCUAGUCUCCUCUCUGUGAAAUAAUGCAUUCUGAUGUCAGAUUUAGCCAAGUUGAAACCACUUAAUCGUAUCUACAUGGACUUUUUCCCUGUGACUGGAGCAUUUUCAACAUCAGUAUCAUGCUCAUUUAAUUAUUUGAAGCCAGAAUCACUCUUCAUACUGAAAUGAUUGUGCAGGUACAGUGAUGCGUGUCCACUGAAGCAGGUUUCCACAUGUGGAGCUUCUAAUGGAGGAUGCUGUGGAGCUGCAUGAUGAGGACUCAGUGUUUCUCCACCUCUGCUGCUUCGACCAUUUUCAAAAUUCUGUCUUUGAAACGUCUCUGAAUAAUCAGAGUAACUUCUUUAAAUCUGGACCUGAUUGUUCUGUUUUGCAUCAUUAUACUAUUGAACAUUUUAAGUUGAUGCAAGAAUGAUGACAUUUUUCUUUUUUUUAGCAUCAGAAAGUUGUUUUACUUGUUGUGGUUUCAUCCAGUGCUUGUAUUUCCUGGCAGUAAAGUGCCACGAUAUGCUUUAAAUAAAUGCAAAUAGUUACUGAGGGUGUGAAGGAGGAGGUAAACAUGUAGCUGUAGUUAAGGAAUAGAACAACUUCUUCUGCUGUUUCUGCCCAUAAAUGUUCUGUUUAUAAAAAAUAAUGAACAGAUAUUCUCAGGAAUAGUGUUUAUGAUGGGAGUAUUGUGCCUAAUUUGUGCACAGAAAUGAAUCUUUUGCCUUAUGAAUGAGCAAUUUGUAAUCUUGAAUUA